This 497-nucleotide ribosomal RNA is filed under the name uncultured bacterium. RNAcentral describes it as "partial 16S ribosomal RNA". It matches the Rfam family "Bacterial small subunit ribosomal RNA", at positions 28 to 507 of the family's 1533-position model. The record is from RNAcentral.
GAUGAACGCUGGCGGCGUGCCUAAUACAUGCAAGUCGAGCGAACAGACGAGGAGCUUGCUCCUCUGACGUUAGCGGCGGACGGGUGAGUAACACGUGGAUAACCUACCUAUAAGACUGGGAUAACUUCGGGAAACCGGAGCUAAUACCGGAUAAUAUAUUGAACCGCAUGGUUCAAUAGUGAAAGACGGUUUUGCUGUCACUUAUAGCUGGAUCCGCGCCGCAUUAGCUAGUUGGUAAGGUAACGGCUUACCAAGGCAACGAUGCGUAGCCGACCUGAGAGGGUGAUCGGCCACACUGGAACGGAGACACGGUCCAGACUCCUACGGGAGGCAGCAGUAGGGAAUCUUCCGCAAUGGGCGAAAGCUUGACGGAGCAACGCCGCGUGAGUGAUGAAGGUCUUCGGAUCGUAAAACUCUGUUAUUAGGGAAGAACAAAUGUGUAAGUAACUAUGCACGUCUUGACGGUACCUAAUCAGAAAGCCACGGCUAACUACGUG